RNAcentral lists this transfer-messenger RNA (117 nucleotides) under Deltaproteobacteria bacterium RBG_13_58_19. RNAcentral describes it as "partial transfer-messenger RNA". It matches the Rfam family "transfer-messenger RNA", at positions 1 to 122 of the family's 374-position model. From Rfam's summary of the family: Bacterial tmRNA, also known as 10Sa RNA or SsrA, is named for its dual tRNA and mRNA-like properties. The record is from RNAcentral. Lineage: Bacteria; Deltaproteobacteria.
GGGGGCGAAACGGCUUCGACGUAGCUAGAAAACUUUAAGUUGCAUGCCGAGGUCCUGUCCGCUCGUAAAACGGGUAGGAAAAACAUAACUGCCGACAACUACGGCUACGCUCUAGCC